GACGAACGCUGGCGGCGUGCUUAACACAUGCAAGUCGAACGGAAAGGCCCUGCUUUUGUGGGGUGCCCGAGUGGCGAACGGGUGAGUAACACGUGAGUAAUCUGCCCUUGACUUUGGGAUAACUUCAGGAAACUGGGGCUAAUACCGGAUAGGAGCUCCUGCUGCAUGGUGGGGGUUGGAAAGUUUCGGCGGUUGGGGAUGGACUCGCGGCUUAUCAGCUUGUUGGUGGGGUAGUGGCUUACCAAGGCUUUGACGGGUAGCCGGCCUGAGAGGGUGACCGGCCACAUUGGGACUGAGAUACGGCCCAGACUCCUACGGGAGGCAGCAGUGGGGAAUAUUGCACAAUGGGCGGAAGCCUGAUGCAGCAACGCCGCGUGCGGGAUGACGGCCUUCGGGUUGUAAACCGCUUUCGCCUGUGACGAAGCGUGGGUGACGGUAAUGGGUAAAGAAGCACCGGCUAACUACGUG
RNAcentral lists this ribosomal RNA (468 nucleotides) under uncultured bacterium. RNAcentral's name for it is "partial 16S ribosomal RNA". It matches the Rfam family "Bacterial small subunit ribosomal RNA", at positions 28 to 507 of the family's 1533-position model. The record is from RNAcentral.